GUGGUUGUUGCUGGCCCUCUCGGGGGCAUGUGCACACCCACCAUCCUCAUCUCUCCACCUGUGCACCUCUUGUAGACCUGGAUUGACUUUCCGAGGCAACUCGGUCGGGAAGAUUGCUGCGCUCUGUGAGCCAGCUUUCUUUGCAUGUCCAGGCCUAUGUUUUUCAUAUACCCCUAUAGAAUGUAACAGAAUGUAUCAUUGGGCCUUGUGCCUAUAAACCUUAUACAACUUUCAGCAACGGAUCUCUUGGCUCUCGCAUCGAUGAAGAACGCAGCGAAAUGCGAUAAGUAAUGUGAAUUGCAGAAUUCAGUGAAUCAUCGAAUCUUUGAACGCACCUUGCGCUCCUUGGUAUUCCGAGGAGCAUGCCUGUUUGAGUGUCAUUAAAUUCUCAACCUUAUUAACUUUUGUUGAUAAUGGAUUGGAUUGUGGGGGUUUCUUUUGCUGGCUUCUUCACAGAGAUCAGCUCCCCUUAAAUGCAUUAGCUGGUGCCCCGCGUGGACCAUCUAUUGGUGUGAUAAUUAUCUACGCCGUGGAUGUCUGCAAUCAUAUGGGUUUCGCACUGCUUCUAACCGUCUGUUCAUUCGGACAAUACAUGACAAUUUGACCUCAAAUCAGGUAGGACUACCCGCUGAACUUAAGCAUAUCAAUAAGCGGAGGAAAAGAAACUAACAAGGAUUCCCCUARUAACUGCGAGUGAAGCGGGAAAAGCUCAAAUUUAAAAUCUGGCGGUCUCCGG
Molecule: ribosomal RNA, 736 nt
Filed under: Alnicola umbrina
Lineage: Eukaryota; Fungi; Basidiomycota; Agaricomycetes; Agaricales; Hymenogastraceae
Description: eukaryotic LSU rRNA
Rfam family: 5.8S ribosomal RNA (bases 227-380)
Source: RNAcentral